UACGAAGGGGACUAGCGUUGUUCGGAUUUACUGGGCGUAAAGCGCGCGUAGGCGGAUCGCUAAGUCAGGGGUGAAAUCCCAGGGCUCAACCCUGGAACUGCCUUUGAUACUGACGAUCUGGAGAUCGGGAGAGGUUGGUGGAAUUCCGAGUGUAGAGGUGAAAUUCGUAGAUAUUCGGAGGAACACCAGAAGCGAAGGCGGCCAACUGGCACGAUACUGACGCUGAUGAGCGAAAGCUAGGGGAGCAAACGGG
This 253-nucleotide ribosomal RNA is filed under the name uncultured bacterium. RNAcentral's name for it is "partial 16S ribosomal RNA". It matches the Rfam family "Bacterial small subunit ribosomal RNA", at positions 524 to 776 of the family's 1533-position model. The record is from RNAcentral.